UACAGAGGGUGCGAGCGUUGUCCGGAAUCACUGGGCGUAAAGCGCACGUAGGCGGACUCUUAAGUCGGUGGUGAAAUCCUGGAGCUCAACUCCAGAACUGCCUUCGAUACUGGGAGUCUCGAGUCCGGGAGAGGUGAGUGGAACUGCGAGUGUAGAGGUGAAAUUCGUAGAUAUUCGCAAGAACACCAGUGGCGAAGGCGGCGCACUGGCCCGGUACUGACGCUGAGGUGCGAAAGCGUGGGGAGCAAACAGG
RNAcentral lists this ribosomal RNA (253 nucleotides) under uncultured bacterium. Its description in RNAcentral is "partial 16S ribosomal RNA". It matches the Rfam family "Bacterial small subunit ribosomal RNA", at positions 524 to 776 of the family's 1533-position model. The record is from RNAcentral.